RNAcentral lists this ribosomal RNA (503 nucleotides) under uncultured bacterium. RNAcentral's name for it is "partial 16S ribosomal RNA". It matches the Rfam family "Bacterial small subunit ribosomal RNA", at positions 28 to 523 of the family's 1533-position model. The record is from RNAcentral.
GAUGAACGCUAGUGAUAGGCCUAACACAUGCAAGUCGAGGGGCAUCACGGAGUAGCAAUACUUUGGUGGCGACCGGCGCACGGGUGAGUAGCGCGUAUGCAAUCUACCUACAACAGGGGGAUAACCCGGAGAAAUCCGGACUAAUACCGCAUAACACAGGGGUCCCGCAUGGGAAUAUUUGUUAAAGAUUUAUCGGUUGUAGAUGAGCAUGCGUUCCAUUAGGUAGUUGGUGAGGUAACGGCCCACCAAGCCUGCGAUGGAUAGGGGAACUGAGAGGUUUGUCCCCCACACUGGAACUGAGACACGGACCAGACUCCUACGGGAGGCAGCAGUGAGGAAUAUUGGUCAAUGGGCGAGAGCCUGAACCAGCCAAAUCGCGUGAAGGAAGACUGCCUUAUGGGUUGUAAACUUCUUUUGUACAGGAAUAAAAAGAGGGACGUGUCCUUCAUUGCAUGUACUGUACGAAUAAGCAUCGGCUAACUCCGUGCCAGCCGCCGCAGUAA